This 71-nucleotide transfer RNA is filed under the name Paramuricea clavata. It matches the Rfam family "tRNA". Rfam says of the family: Transfer RNA (tRNA) molecules are approximately 80 nucleotides in length. Their secondary structure includes four short double-helical elements and three loops (D, anti-codon, and T loops). Further hydrogen bonds mediate the characteristic L-shaped molecular structure. tRNAs have two regions of fundamental functional importance: the anti-codon, which is responsible for specific mRNA codon recognition, and the 3' end, to which the tRNAs corresponding amino acid is attached (by aminoacyl-tRNA synthetases). tRNAs cope with the degeneracy of the genetic code in two manners: having more than one tRNA (with a specific anti-codon) for a particular amino acid; and 'wobble' base-pairing, i.e. permitting non-standard base-pairing at the 3rd anti-codon position. Lineage: Eukaryota; Metazoa; Cnidaria; Anthozoa; Malacalcyonacea; Plexauridae. The record is from Rfam by way of RNAcentral.
GACCUCGUAGCUCAGUUGGUAGAGCAUUGGACUUGUAUCCCAAGGUCGCGGGUUCGAUCCCACCGCGGUCA